CUAGAUACCAGCUUAGAGACAUCAUAAUGACAAUUUUUAGAGAUUAGGAGGUGUCACAGUUCUGUGACAGAAGACAAAAGGACCCACCGUCCCACACCCCGGGACUGAAAGGUGGCCUAUGUUUUUAAAGUAUCUGCAUUAGGGCACUUCCACAUCAGCAGUCACACUUGAAGUUCUUCUCUAAAGUACCUCAUUUCCUACUGGUUUGUCUCUUAAUGUCUUCAUUUAAUUCUCCAUGGAUUGCACUGUGCAUGACAUGGUGUUGAAAUAUCCAUGGCUUGAAGUACACCAGCAUCUCAGGUGAGCAUUCAAAACAGCACAGAAACUUGUACAUAGAAUUAAGAAAGGAGGAACUAACGCAGCAGACAAGGACUGUAUCAACACAGCCCUAAUCAAGAACAGCUGCAAUAAUCUUUGCAAUGGAAGAGAACAGCUGUAAUGAAUCUUUACUUAGAAUAACUUCUUUUCAUGCUAGAUUCUUGCCACCUAUUCCUCUCAUCUACACAUGUAACUGAGAUCAUGGUUCAAAGAUGAGGCUUCUUGCUCACUUAAAUAUGGUAACACAGAUUUUACAGACGUACUGACAUGGAUUUUCUCCUCCAAAAUCUAUCCAGGCUUCAGCCACAGACAGCCUCACAUCUCCCUAGCUACUGUACAGACAGUGAAGCCUACAGAGCAACGAAGGAGGUGCCAGCCCCAGGAACGCUCACAAGCUGUUUGCUGCUGAGAGAAACCUCCCACACUACAACCCAUUCAACAUCACCCACCUAGAACCUGCAGACUGAACAAGAUCCAGGAUGGCAUCUCAUCGUGCUACAUUUACAUCAUCAAUAGUUAGUAAGAAAUUCAGGAAGUUUACUGAGCAGAAUUCACAGCUUGCUACUGUAAAACGUGGAAAAGGUAGCCCACAGUUACAUUCCAGCCAUCAGGCGACUGUUGGAAGGCAAGCAGGCAGAAGAAAAAUGUAGUUGUAGAUGGUUUAUUUGACAGAUAGUCUCUGAAGUGAAACCAUAUUUUAUAUGCUAACUCCAUGCUUGCUUUCUUGUGUUGAAGAGAUAAGAGAAAUCUCACUUUACUCAGUUCUGGAAAAGCAGAUUAUGAUAUCAGCUCCUGAAACAACUGAGAGGUGGACACCAAGAUCUGCUGGAAUAUGUGCUCUCUCUUGCAGUGAGCACUUGCACAGAUUUUAAGUAGAAAACUACAGUAUGUUCCGGUAGCAGGUACGCAUCUGACUCUAAUCUGAAAUAACAAAAAGAACUGGGACUCUUCUAAGCAUAUUGGUACACAUCACCAAAUGUUCUGUUGCUUUAUACCUCACCAUGCUCACGGAGAUAAAUAUAACAGAGAAUGACUUCAACUAUUUUAUGAAUAAUAAAUUCCUGAGAUCAAGAAAGAUGUUCUAUAUA
Molecule: long non-coding RNA, 1406 nt
Filed under: Phasianus colchicus (ring-necked pheasant)
Lineage: Eukaryota; Metazoa; Chordata; Aves; Galliformes; Phasianidae
Description: lncRNA (ENSPCLG00000005105.1)
Source: RNAcentral